AGCGAACGCUGGCGGCAGGCUUAACACAUGCAAGUCGAGCGGGCGUAGCAAUACGUCAGCGGCAGACGGGUGAGUAACGCGUGGGAACGUACCUUUUGGUUCGGAACAACACAGGGAAACUUGUGCUAAUACCGGAUAAGCCCUUACGGGGAAAGAUUUAUCGCCGAAAGAUCGGCCCGCGUCUGAUUAGCUAGUUGGUGAGGUAAUGGCUCACCAAGGCGACGAUCAGUAGCUGGUCUGAGAGGAUGAUCAGCCACAUUGGGACUGAGACACGGCCCAAACUCCUACGGGAGGCAGCAGUGGGGAAUAUUGGACAAUGGGCGCAAGCCUGAUCCAGCCAUGCCGCGUGAGUGAUGAAGGCCCUAGGGUUGUAAAGCUCUUUUGUGCGGGAAGAUAAUGACGGUACCGCAAGAAUAAGCCCCGGCUAACUUCGUGCCAGCCGCCGCCGUAACAC
Molecule: ribosomal RNA, 454 nt
Filed under: uncultured bacterium
Lineage: Bacteria
Description: bacterial SSU rRNA
Rfam family: Bacterial small subunit ribosomal RNA
Source: RNAcentral